AUGUGUCUUGACCAAACAAAGGACUAUACAACAAAAAAAUAGAACCACAGCCAUCUACUUCAAAGCAGAGUGAUAACAUUUCGUUUACAAUAAAGCAUACUGGAGGUGGAAAACCAGAAUACAUUCCACCAGAUGAAGCGCUGGAUAAAGUAGCAGCCAUUUUAGGUUCGACCUGUGAAGGUUAUAGCGUUCCGUUUGGUGGUGAUGCUGUGGUCGAGGAGGUGGAAGAAAUGGUGCAGGAAGCAGUGGUUGUGGAUGUACCAUAUAUAGAGAACGCUCCACCAGUUAUUGCUUCGCCUGCUUUGUCCCCGCACACCCCAAAGUCCAAAAAGUUUUUUUUUUGCAUCCACCAUUAGCAAAGGAAAGUUAAAACGCCAAAAUCUGGCUGAGGACAUAAAGAUGUCAGUCAAAAAUAGGAAUCGGGCCAUUGCGGAGUAUUACGAUUCAAAAAAAAAAGCAAAAAGAGGAAAUUGUUUUAAAAAAAAGAAAGUUAGAAUUAGAUAUUCUUGAGAAGGAAAGGAAAUUGGAAGAACAUAAAUAAAUUAUAAUAAAGUGUUUUAAAA
Molecule: long non-coding RNA, 563 nt
Organism: Melitaea cinxia (Glanville fritillary)
Lineage: Eukaryota; Metazoa; Arthropoda; Insecta; Lepidoptera; Nymphalidae
Exons: 3
Source: RefSeq, a predicted model, not a curated record